GACGUAGGGCGCGAGCGUUGUCCGGAUUUAUUGGGCGUAAAGAGCUCGUAGGCGGCUUGUCGCGUCGUCCGUGAAAACCUGCAGCUCAACUCCGGGCCUGCAGUCGAUACGGGCAGACUGGAGUUCGGCAGGGGAGACUGGAAUUCCUGGUGUAGCGGUGAAAUGCGCAGAUAUCAGGAGGAACACCGGUGGCGAAGGCGGGUCUCUGGGCCGAUACUGACGCUGAGGUGCGAAAGCGUGGGGAGCAAACAGG
This 253-nucleotide ribosomal RNA is filed under the name uncultured bacterium. RNAcentral's name for it is "partial 16S ribosomal RNA". It matches the Rfam family "Bacterial small subunit ribosomal RNA", at positions 524 to 776 of the family's 1533-position model. The record is from RNAcentral.